RNAcentral lists this unclassified non-coding RNA (2453 nucleotides) under Drosophila virilis. Its description in RNAcentral is "GJ16882". Lineage: Eukaryota; Metazoa; Arthropoda; Insecta; Diptera; Drosophilidae. The record is from RNAcentral.
UUAGUUGUGGUGGUCGGCCAAUAAAUUGUGGUGGUCAAAAGCAAAGCAAAGAGUACACAUAAAACGAAAACGGAGAUGUUAAAAAUAAAAUAGAGAAAACGGAAACAGUCAUUUAAAUUGCGAGUGGUAAUCAAGCGGAUUAAGCAUAGUUCCAAUCCACAACUAUUUUUUGGCUUUCGGUAUAAAAAUAACAACAACAACAGUCAACUACGCACCGACAACGGACACCAACACUAAGAACCAACACCGACACUGACACCGACGACCGACGUACGAUUAACGCCCUCCCUACGCUCCGCACUUUUGGCACCCGCACACACACUGACGCACACACGCAUACACUCCUCUCUACAAAUAAUCAUCAUCAUCAUCAUCAUCAUCAUUAUCAUCAUCAUUGCACAGGCGAAGGCACAAGGCACAUAAACACUCAAACACUUAUCUAUAUACCGCGUUUAUCAACGCCGCCCGUCUCCGCCACCGCUGCUGACCCACCACCUCCCACACCCCACCAACCUGAUCCACAACAUCAACUUUGUUUGCUAUUGUUGUCUGCUGCUGCUGUCAUUUGUUUUGUUUCCUUAAAUGUGAACGCACACACACACACGCACGCACGCACGCAAACACCUACACAUACGCGCAAAAUACGAAGGAGCAAACAAAGGCGACGGCUCGAAAAGAAAAGAAAAAAACUGCAACAAAACAACGGAGAGAGCGAGCGAGAGUGACUCCAUUGAGAGCGAAAGCAAAAAGUGCAAUAGAGAGCGCAAGUUUAAAAGUGCAAACUUAAAUAACAAAACGAUCAGCGAUCGCGGGGCGUAGGGCCAGUGGGGGGCAGAGGCCGUGCGAGAAAGUCAAACUCAAACUCUAUGGGUCAAAAGGCAAGCACACCAGCGACCAGCGGCCAGCAGAGCCCACGCUCCAGAACAUUUUCCAGCAGCUCAACGGGUGCAACCGCAACCGACACAACGCCGCAAAGUUCAGCGGUUGGUGGCCGCGGCGGCGAUGCCGGUCAGGGAUUUAACUUGCUGCGCACACUGCCGGGUCUGCAGGUCUAUCACCACCAUCAUAAUCAGCAGAACUCCACGUCCAUAGACCGACAGCGUGCUCGCAGCCUUAGCUCUGUGCCAGAUAUACAACAGCAGCAGCAGCAGCAACAACAACAACAGCAGCAGCAGCAACAACAACAGCAGCAACAGCAACAACAGCAGGGAUCCACAACGUAUCCGCACACACAUCCCGCCGUCUCAGUCUCUGUGUCAGCUAAUUCAAAUAGCAAUAGUUUCCAAGUGGCAGCCGGCAACAACAACGGCUCAUCGGCUGCCGCACAAAGCUACAUGCAACAGAGACGCGCUUUUGGUGACUCAAUACGCGAGAUGUCCAUGACCGGCGCCAAUAUCGUUGAGAGCAUCGCAAUGGCCGCAUCUGCAACAUCUGCGAAUGGCAUCGGUCGUGUGUACACAGCGACAUCGCUGCCAUCGCACAUUUGGUCCUUCAAUGGCAUCAAGUGUCCCGUGUGCAAUAAGUUCGUGUUGCCAGACGAUAUUGAAUGCCAUUUAGUUAUGUGCCUAACAAAACCCAGACUCUCAUAUAAUGAGGAUACAUUAAUGGACGCCAAGGGCGAGUGCGUCAUAUGCCUUGAAGACUUGAGUCCAGGUGAUACAAUUGCUCGAUUGCCAUGUCUAUGCAUAUACCACAAAGGCUGCAUUGAUCGUUGGUUUGAGGUGAAUCGCUCCUGUCCCGAGCAUCCAGGAGAUUAGUAAAAGUCUCAUUAGUGAUAUGAAUAAUUGCAUAUAGCAGUCAAGCGGUCUAUAGAAAGAUGUUAAUAUUUAAUGUAUUCUUUUUGUGUAUGUAAUGUGCAUAUUGAUAUGUAAAUAGCUCGUUAAGUCGUUUAACGUCUAAGUGGGCAGUGCGUAGAGCGAGUGCCAUAAACAAAACUGGAUGAUAGACGACUUUUGAGCAAGCAUUUGUUAGCAACAAAAAGCCAACAUUGUAAAGAUCAUCAAUUGUUAAAUGGAAUGGAAAAUGAAGUGAGAGGAGAGGCUACGACAAGCAAAAUCUGGAUCGAGCGAUCGAUCGUUUUGACCUACCGACCGACUGUUUAUGCAAAUCCACAAGAAAACAAACACAAAUCAAUUGAAACAAAUUAAUUUACAAUGCUAUCAUAACUAGAAAGUGCAACGUCAACAAACAAAGGACAAAGGACAAAAGUGAACGAAACCAACCAACCCACAAAAACAAAACAAAAAAAAAAACAAAAAAACAGAAAAGAAACAAAUAACAAAGCUAAAUCAACACGAUGUUAAGAAUGAUGUAAAGAUAAAGUUAAUGAUGAUGAAAGUGCAUGAAAGCGAAGCAACCAACCAACCAACAAAAGAAUGUCAACCAAUGUGAUGUUAAAUUUUAUAUUUUGUACUAUGGAUAUGAUGUAAUUGUAAUGUAAUGUAUAUGUAUGU